CGUAGGUGGCGAGCGUUGUCCGGAUUUACUGGGCGUAAAGAGCGCGCAGGCGGCUGGGCAAGUCCGAUGUGAAAGCUUCCGGCUUAACUGGAAAAUUGCAUUGGAAACUGCUCGGCUUGAAGGUGGGAGAGGGUAGCGGAAUUCCCGGUGUAGUGGUGAAAUGCGUAGAUAUCGGGAGGAACACCAGUGGCGAAGGCGGCUACCUGGCCCAUUCUUGACGCUGAGGCGCGAAAGCUAGGGGAGCAAACGGGAUUAGAUACCCCGGUAGUCCUAGCCGUAGACGAUGAACACUAGGCGUAGUCGGUAUCGACCCCGGCUGUGCCGUAGCCGACGCAUUAAGUGUUCCGCCUGGGGAGUACGGCCGCAAGGCUA
This 372-nucleotide ribosomal RNA is filed under the name uncultured organism. Its description in RNAcentral is "bacterial SSU rRNA". It matches the Rfam family "Bacterial small subunit ribosomal RNA", at positions 526 to 896 of the family's 1533-position model. The record is from RNAcentral.